AAUACUCUUGGAUAGUGGACGUUACUCGCAGAAUAAGCACCGGCUAACUCUGUGCCAGCAGCCGCGGUAAUACAGAGGGUGCAAGCGUUAAUCGGAUUUACUGGGCGUAAAGCGCGCGUAGGUGGCCAAUUAAGUCAAAUGUGAAAUCCCCGAGCUUAACUUGGGAAUUGCAUUCGAUACUGGUUGGCUAGAGUAUGGGAGAGGAUGGUAGAAUUCCAGGUGUAGCGGUGAAAUGCGUAGAGAUCUGGAGGAAUACCGAUGGCGAAGGCAGCCAUCUGGCCUAAUACUGACACUGAGGUGCGAAAGCAUGGGGAGCAAACAGGAUUAGAUACCCUGGUAGUCCAUGCCGUAAACGAUGUCUACUAGCCGUUGGGGCCUUUGAGGCUUUAGUGGCGCAGCUAACGCGAUAAGUAGACCGCCUGGGGAGUACGGUCGCAAGACUAAAACUCAAAUGAAUUGACGGGGGCCCGCACAAGCGGUGGAGCAUGUGGUUUAAUUCGAUGCAACGCGAAGAACCUUACCUGGUCUUGACAUAGUAAGAACUUUCCAGAGAUGGAUUGGUGCCUUCGGGAACUUACAUACAGGUGCUGCAUGGCUGUCGUCAGCUCGUGUCGUGAGAUGUUGGGUUAAGUCCCGCAACGAGCGCAACCCUUUUCCUUAUUUGCCAGCGGGUUAAGCCGGGAACUUUAAGGAUACUGCCAGUGACAAACUGGAGGAAGGCGGGGACGACGUCAAGUCAUCAUGGCCCUUACGACCAGGGCUACACACGUGCUACAAUGGUCGGUACAAAGGGUUGCUACCUC
RNAcentral lists this ribosomal RNA (803 nucleotides) under uncultured Acinetobacter sp. RNAcentral describes it as "bacterial SSU rRNA". It matches the Rfam family "Bacterial small subunit ribosomal RNA", at positions 448 to 1256 of the family's 1533-position model. Lineage: Bacteria; Pseudomonadati; Pseudomonadota; Gammaproteobacteria; Moraxellales; Moraxellaceae. The record is from RNAcentral.